Molecule: ribosomal RNA, 446 nt
Filed under: uncultured bacterium
Lineage: Bacteria
Description: partial 16S ribosomal RNA
Rfam family: Bacterial small subunit ribosomal RNA
Source: RNAcentral
CUACGGGGCGCUCCAGUAACGAAUAUUCCGCAAUGGGCGCAAGCCUGACGGAGCGACGCCGCGUGCAGGACCGAAGUCCUUCGGGAUGUAAACUGCUUUUCAGGGAAGAGAAUCCGCAAGGUUGACUGUACCUGGAAUAAGCCACGGCUAACUCUGUGCCAGCAGCCGCGGUAAUACAGAGGUGGCAAGCGUUGUUCGGAAUCACUGGGCUUAAAGGGCGUGCAGGCUGCCAAGUAAGCGUUUUGUGAAAUCCCUCGGCUUAACCGAGGAAUUGCUUGACGAACUGCUUGGCUCGAGGCAGAUAGGGGCGACUGGAACUCUGGGUGGAGCGGUGAAAUGCGUAGAUAUCCAGGGGAACGCCGGUGGUGAAAACGGGUCGCUGGGUCUGUCCUGACGCUGAGGCGCGAAAGCUAGGGGAGCGAACGGGAUUAGAUACCCGGGUAGUC